RNAcentral lists this ribosomal RNA (446 nucleotides) under uncultured bacterium. RNAcentral's name for it is "bacterial SSU rRNA". It matches the Rfam family "Bacterial small subunit ribosomal RNA", at positions 330 to 793 of the family's 1533-position model. The record is from RNAcentral.
UCCAGACUCCUACGGGAGGCAGCAGUGGGGAAUACUGCACAAUGGGGGAAACCCUGAUGCAGCGACGCCGCGUGAGUGAAGAAGUAUUUCGGUAUGUAAAGCUCUCUCAGCAGGGAAGAAAAUGACGGUACCUGACUAAGAAGCCCCGGCUAACUACGUGCCAGCAGCCGCGGUAAUACGUAGGGGGCAAGCGUUAUCCGGAUUUACUGGGUGUAAAGGGAGCGUAGACGGCAUGGCAAGUCAGAUGUGAAAGCCCGGGGCUCAACCCCGGGACUGCAUUUGAAACUGUCAGGCUGGAGUGCAGGAGAGGUAAGUGGAAUUCCUAGUGUAGCGGUGAAAUGCGUAGAUAUUAGGAGGAACACCAGUGGCGAAGGCGGCUUACUGGACUGUAACUGACGUUGAGGCUCGAAGGCGUGGGGAGCAAACAGGAUUAGAUACCCGGGUAC